Molecule: ribosomal RNA, 2427 nt
Filed under: Triticum aestivum (bread wheat)
Lineage: Eukaryota; Viridiplantae; Streptophyta; Magnoliopsida; Poales; Poaceae
Description: partial small subunit ribosomal RNA
Source: RNAcentral
AUGGCGCUCACCUCCCAGAGCCUCUUCUUCACCCCGUCGCCCGCCGGGCCUUCCCGGCGAGGCCGGGGCCGCCCCGUCACCAUGUCCGCCGCCGCAUCGCACAACUCGCAACCCCGAAACAACCCCUUCGCCGUCUCAUCCUCCGCCCCCAAAUCCGAAUCCAAGACCUCCAAAACCGACCUCGCCCUUGGCUCCGCCAUCGCUGCAGCCGCCUCCGGCGCUCUCCUCCUCGCCUUCUCUGGCGGCUUUGGGGGCGGCCCCAAGGGCCCCCUCGGCGGGGGAGGCGGAUGGGGCGGCGGCGGCGGCGGUGCCGGUGGCGGGGGCGGCGGGGGCUUCUGGUCGCGGAUCUUCUCCGCCGGCGCGGCGAAUGCCGACGAAAAGUCGUCGUCUGACUGGGACCCGCAUGGCCUCCCGGCCAACAUCACCGUGCCGCUCUCGAAGCUGAGCGGGCUGAAGAGAUACAAGUUGUCGGAGCUCAAGUUCUUCGACCGUGCCGCGCCUGGCGGAGGCGGCGCCACGGAUGCCGGGCCAGAGGACUCCUUCUUUGAGAUGGUUACCCUGCAGCCAGGCGGCGUGUACACCAAGUCACAGCUUCUGAAAGAGCUCGAGACGCUAGUCUCCUGCGGCAUGUUCGAGCGGGUUGACCUAGAAGGGAAGGCCAAACCUGACGGCACCCUUGGCCUCACCGUCUCCUUCACAGAGAGCGUGUGGAGUGCAGCCAAGCAGUUCAAGUGCAUCAAUGUUGGGCUUAUGGCGCAGUCGGGCCAGGCUGACUUCGAUCAGGACAUGACCGAGAGGGAGAAGAUGGACUACCUUCGGAAGCAGGAACGGGAUUACCAGCAGCGUGUCCGCGGCGCCAUGCCGUGCAUUUUGCCAGAGUCUGUCCGAGGGGAGGUUUUGGCAAUGAUGAAAAAACAGGAGAAGGUGAGUGCCAGGAUGCUGCAGAAGAUCAGGGACCAUGUUCAGAAAUGGUACCACAAUGAGGGCUUUGUAUGUGCACAAGUGGUGAAUUUUGGAAAUCUUAACACCAGUGAGGUUGUGUGUGAGGUCGUCGAGGGGGACAUAACCAAAGUGGAGUACCAGUUCCAGGAUAAGCUAGGGAAUUUUGUGGAAGGGAAUACCCAAAUUCCUAUCAUCGACCGGGAGCUGCCCCAGCAGCUUCGUCCUGGUCAUAUCUUUAAUAUUGGAGCAGGAAAACAAGCUCUGAAGAAUAUAAAUUCGCUCGCUUUAUUCUCCAAUAUAGAAGUGAAUCCACGUCCUGAUGAGACAAAAGAAGGUGGUAUUGUAGUUGAAAUUAAGCUUAAGGAAUUAGAACCAAAGUCUGCUGAAGUAAGCACAGAGUGGAGUAUCGUACCUGGACGUCAAGGCAGGCCCACCCUGGCAUCCAUUCAACCUGGAGGAACUGUGUCAUUUGAGCACCGCAACAUCUAUGGUCUUAACAGAUCCAUUGUUGGUUCUGUUACAUCGAGUAACCUGCUCAACCCUCAGGACGAUCUUUCAUUCAAGCUCGAAUAUGUCCAUCCGUAUUUGGAUGGUGUGGAUGACCGUAAUAAGAACCGCACCUUCAAAACUAGCUGCUUCAACACCAGGAAAUUGAGUCCUGUCUUUGUUGCUGGCCCCAAUAUGGAUGAAGCUCCACCUGUCUGGGUUGACCGAGUUGGAUUCAAAGCCAACAUAACAGAGAGCUUCACAAGGCAGAGCAAAUUCACAUAUGGCCUCGUCGUGGAAGAAAUCACAACACGUGAUGAAACCAACAGUAUCUGUACACAUGGUUCUCGGGCAAUGCCUAGUGGCGGCUUGAGCAUGGAUGGACCUCCCACAACCCUCAGUGGUACUGGUGUAGAUCGAAUGGCAUUUCUACAAGCAAAUAUUACUCGAGACAAUACAGAGUUUGUAAAUGGUGCAGUCAUUGGCGACAGAUGUAUUUUCCAGUUGGAUCAAGGUCUUGGGAUCGGAAGCAAAAGCCCACUCUUCAACCGUCAUCAGCUUACAUUGACAAAGUUCAUUAAUUUAAAUAAUCAAGAGAAAGGUGUUGGCAAGCCGCUGCCAGCUGUGUUGGUUCUUCAUGGUCAUUAUGCAGGUUGUGUAGGAGAUCUGCCAAGCUAUGAUGCAUUUACACUUGGAGGACCUUACUCAGUUAGGGGCUAUGGUAUGGGUGAACUGGGUGCAUCUAGGAAUGUUCUGGAGGUUGCUGGUGAGGUGCGCAUACCCGUGAAGAACACAUAUGUUUAUGGAUUUGCGGAGCAUGGCACUGACCUUGGGAGUUCCAAGGAUGUGAAAGGGAACCCCACUGAGUUCUUCCGACGCGUUGGCCAUGGAUCUUCUUAUGGUGUUGGCGUCAAGCUUGGCUUGGUAAGAGGAGAGUACAUCGUAGAUCACAAUACUGGGGCUGGAACCGUCUUCUUCAGAUUUGGUGAGAGAUUCUGA